GAUGAACGCUGACCGAAUGCUUAACACAUGCAAGUCGAUGGGGAAGUGGUGCUUGCACCAUGGUAACCAUGGCGGACGGGUGAGUAACGCGUAAGGAACUUACCUGCGGGACCGGGAUAACAGCAGGAAACUGCUGACAAGACCGGAUAAGGUCAUUAAGCUGCAUAGCUUAGUGAUGAAAGGAGACGCCUGCGGAGAGCCUUGCGUCCUAUUAGCUAGUUGGAGGGGUAACGGCCCACCAAGGCGAAGAUAGGUAGCCGGCCUGAGAGGGUGGACGGCCACAAGGGGACUGAGAUACGGCCCUUACUCCUACGGGAGGCAGCAGUGGGGAAUAUUGGACAAUGGGGGCAACCCUGAUCCAGCAAUUCUGUGUGCACGAAGACGGUUUUCGGAGUGUAAAGUGCUUUCAGCAGGGAAGAAGGAAGUGACGGUACCUGCAGAAGAAGCGACGGCUAAAUACGUG
This 463-nucleotide ribosomal RNA is filed under the name uncultured bacterium. RNAcentral describes it as "partial 16S ribosomal RNA". It matches the Rfam family "Bacterial small subunit ribosomal RNA", at positions 28 to 507 of the family's 1533-position model. The record is from RNAcentral.